Molecule: ribosomal RNA, 429 nt
Filed under: Bacillota bacterium
Lineage: Bacteria; Bacillati; Bacillota
Description: Firmicutes bacterium partial 16S ribosomal RNA
Rfam family: Bacterial small subunit ribosomal RNA
Source: RNAcentral
UGGGGAAUUUUGGACAAUGGGGGCAACCCUGAUCCAGCAAUGCCGCGUGUGUGAAGAAGGCCUUCGGGUUGUAAAGCACUUUUGUCCGGAAAGAAAACUUCGGGGCUAAUACCCCUGGAGGAUGACGGUACCGGAAGAAUAAGCACCGGCUAACUACGUGCCAGCAGCCGCGGUAAUACGUAGGGUGCGAGCGUUAAUCGGAAUUACUGGGCGUAAAGCGUGCGCAGGCGGUGCUGUAAGACCGAUGUGAAAUCCCCGGGCUUAACCUGGGAACUGCAUUGGUGACUGCAGCGCUGGAGUAUGGCAGAGGGGGGUGGAAUUCCACGUGUAGCAGUGAAAUGCGUAGAGAUGUGUAGGAACACCGAUGGCGAAGGCAGCCCCCUGGGCCAAUACUGACGCUCAUGCACGAAAGCGUGGGGAGCAAACAGG